Molecule: ribosomal RNA, 1867 nt
Filed under: human gut metagenome
Description: bacterial LSU rRNA
Rfam family: Bacterial large subunit ribosomal RNA
Source: RNAcentral
AAGGAUGUGGCAUUUCAUAAACAACCAGGAUGUUGGCUCAGAAGCAGCCACCAUUUAAAGAGUGCGUAAUAGCUCACUGGUCGAGAGACGCUGCGCCGAAAAUGUCCGGGGCUCAAGCACGGAACCGAAGCUAUGGCAUGAUAGCAAUAUCAUGGGUAGGGGAGCGUUCUUAUAAGGAAGAAGCAUGACCGGAAGGACAUGUGGACAAAUAAGAAGUGAGAAUGCCGGUAUGAGUAUCGAAAAGAAAGGUGAGAAUCCUUUCCACCGAAAGCCCGAGGGUUCCUGAGCAACGAUCGUCGACUCAGGGUAAGUCGGGACCUAAGCCGAGGCGAGAAGCGUAGGCGAUGGACAACAGGUUGAAAUUCCUGUACCGGAUCAAGUCGAUCGAGCGAAGGAGCGACGCAGGAGGGCACAUGAUCGCGCGGCUGGAAGAGCGCGUCCAAGUGCGUAUGUUGCAGCAGAGGAAAACCCCUGCAGCUAAAAGCAGAGACAUGAUGGGGAGUUAAAGGAAACUUUGACGAACUCAUGGAUCCCACACUGCCAAGAAAAACUUCUAGCGAGACAAGAUCCGCCCGUACCGUAAACCGACACAGGUAGGCGGGGAGAGAAUCCUAAGGUGCGCGGGAAAACCCUCGUUAAGGAACUCGGCAAAUUGCAUCCGUAACCUAGGGAGAAGGAUGGCCCCCGGUCAGUGAAGAGCAGAAACGCUCAGAGCUAAAAGGGGCGGCAGAAAAGAGGCCCAAGCAACUGUUUACCAAAAACACAGGUGCCUGCGAAAGCGAAAGCUGAAGUAUAGGUGCUGACGCCUGCCCGGUGCCGGAAGGUUAAGGAGAGAAGUUAGCGAAAGCGAAGCAUCGAACUGAAGCCCCGGUGAACGGCGGCCGUAACUAUAACGGUCCUAAGGUAGCGAAAUUCCUUGUCGGGUAAGUUCCGACCCGCAUGAAAGGCGUAAUGAUUUGGGCACUGUCUCAACGAGGGGCCCGGUGAAAUUGAAAUACCUGUGAAGAUGCAGGUUACCCGCGACUGGACAGAAAGACCCCAUGGAGCUUCACUGCAGCUUGAGAUUGAAUCCCGGUGACAGAUGCACAGGAUAGGUGGGAGGCGCCGAAGCAUUGCCCUAGGGCGGUGCGGAGCCGAUGUUGGGAUACCACCCUUCUGUUGCUGAGAUUCUAACGCGAGGAGUAACGACCCUGCGGACCCUCUCAGGCAGGCGGUUUGACUGGGGCGGUCGCCUCCGAAAGAGUAACGGAGGCGCCCAAAGGUUCCCUCAGGCCGGACAGAAACCGGCCGAAGAGUGCAAAGGCAGAAGGGAGCUUGACUGCGAGACCAACAAGUCGAGCAGAGACGAAAGUCGGGCUUAGUGAUCCGGUGGUACUGGGUGGAAAGGCCAUCGCUCAACGGAUAAAAGCUACCCUGGGGAUAACAGGCUAAUCUCUCCCAAGAGUUCAUAUCGACGGGGAGGUUUGGCACCUCGAUGUCGGCUCAUCACAUCCUGGGGCUGGAGUAGGUCCCAAGGGUUGGGCUGUUCGCCCAUUAAAGUGGUACGCGAGCUGGGUUCAAAACGUCGUGAGACAGUUUGGUUCAUAUCCAUCGCGGGCGCAAGAAGUUUGAGAGGAGCUGCUCCUAGUACGAGAGGACCGGAGUGGACGGAUCAACGGUGUCCCAGUUGUCACGCCAGUGGCACGGCUGGAAAGCCGCAUCCGGGAAGGAUAAACGCUGAAAGCAUCUAAGCGCGAAGCCAACCUCAAGAUGAGACUUCUCAUCAGCAAUGAGUAAGACCCCUUACAGACGAUGAGGUAGAUAGGUUAUGAGUGGAAGAGCCGCAAGGCUUGGAGCGACAUAAAACUAAUAGGUCGAGGUCUUAACU